UGCCAGCAGCCGCGGUAAUACGGGGGGUCCUAGCGUUGUUCGGAAUCACUGGGCGUAAAGCGCAUGUAGGUGGAUUGCUAAGUCAGAUGUGAAAGCCCGGGGCCUAACCUCGGAAGUGCAUCUGAUACUGGCAGUCUUGAGUACUAGAGAGGAUUGUGGAAUUCCUGGUGUAGUGGUGAAAUACGUAGAUAUCAGGAGGAACAUCGGAGGCGAAGGCGGCAAUCUGGCUAGAUACUGACACUGAGGUGCGAAAGCGUGGGUAGCAAACAGGAUUAGAUA
Molecule: ribosomal RNA, 279 nt
Filed under: uncultured bacterium
Lineage: Bacteria
Description: partial 16S ribosomal RNA
Rfam family: Bacterial small subunit ribosomal RNA
Source: RNAcentral